AUUCCUACGGGAGGCAGCAGUGAGGAAUAUUGGUCAAUGGGCGAGAGCCUGAACCAGCCAAGUCGCGUGAGGGAAGACGGUCCUAUGGAUUGUAAACCUCUUUUGCCGGGGAGCAACGCCGGCUACGUGUAGCCGGACUGAGAGUACCUGAAGAAAAAGCAUCGGCUAACUCCGUGCCAGCAGCCGCGGUAAUACGGAGGAUGCGAGCGUUAUCCGGAUUUAUUGGGUUUAAAGGGUGCGUAGGCGGAAUGCCAAGUCAGCGGUAAAAUCGCGGGGCUCAACCUCGCUCCGCCGGUGAAACUGGG
RNAcentral lists this ribosomal RNA (305 nucleotides) under uncultured bacterium. RNAcentral's name for it is "bacterial SSU rRNA". It matches the Rfam family "Bacterial small subunit ribosomal RNA", at positions 335 to 637 of the family's 1533-position model. The record is from RNAcentral.